RNAcentral lists this ribosomal RNA (468 nucleotides) under uncultured bacterium. Its description in RNAcentral is "bacterial SSU rRNA". It matches the Rfam family "Bacterial small subunit ribosomal RNA", at positions 335 to 803 of the family's 1533-position model. The record is from RNAcentral.
ACUCCUACGGGAGGCAGCAGUGAGGAAUAUUGGUCAAUGGGCGCAAGCCUGAACCAGCCAUGCCGCGUGCAGGAAGACUGCCCUAUGGGUUGUAAACUGCUUUUAUACAGGAAGAAACACUCCCUCGUGAGGGAGCUUGACGGUACUGUAAGAAUAAGGAUCGGCUAACUCCGUGCCAGCAGCCGCGGUAAUACGGAGGAUCCAAGCGUUAUCCGGAAUCAUUGGGUUUAAAGGGUCCGUAGGUGGAUUAGUAAGUCAGAGGUGAAAUCCUGCAGCUCAACUGUAGAACUGCCUUUGAUACUGCUAGUCUUGAGUCAUUAUGAAGUGGUUAGAAUGUGUAGUGUAGCGGUGAAAUGCAUAGAUAUUACACAGAAUACCGAUUGCGAAGGCAGAUCACUAAUAAUGUACUGACACUGAUGGACGAAAGCGUGGGAGCGAACAGGAUUAGAUACCCGUGGUAGCGACUGA